This 253-nucleotide ribosomal RNA is filed under the name uncultured bacterium. RNAcentral describes it as "partial 16S ribosomal RNA". It matches the Rfam family "Bacterial small subunit ribosomal RNA", at positions 524 to 776 of the family's 1533-position model. The record is from RNAcentral.
GACGUAGGGCGCGAGCGUUGUCCGGAUUUAUUGGGCGUAAAGAGCUCGUAGGCGGCUCGUUGCGUCGGCUGUGAAAACCCGCAGCUCAACUGUGGGCUUGCAGCCGAUACGGGCGGGCUGGGAUUCGGUAGGGGAGAUUGGAAUUCCUGGUGUAGCGGUGAAAUGCGCAGAUAUCAGGAGGAACACCGGUGGCGAAGGCGGGUCUCUGGGCCGAUAUCGACGCUGAGGAGCGAAAGCGUGGGGAGCGAACAGG